This is a long non-coding RNA of Anopheles funestus (African malaria mosquito), 620 nucleotides long. RefSeq lists it as uncharacterized. Lineage: Eukaryota; Metazoa; Arthropoda; Insecta; Diptera; Culicidae. The transcript is spliced from 2 exons. The record is from RefSeq and is a predicted model, not a curated record.
GAUUUAUUUUAACAAGACUUAGAGCGUGCAGAGCACUACGAACACGUCUAACCACCGCUGCGUUAUCGCGAUCAAUCAACCCCGCUUACUUCGAGUUCACGUUUUUAUAAUUCUCUUUCUUUUAUACCGCGUUACAUGAUUGGGUAUCAUGAGUCACCAGCACUAUCGAUCGACCCCAACACCGUGAGCCCCUCCUUGGAAAGACCUUCACACAUCGAGAGGGAUAAUGUGUGGAAUGCAGCUACAUCCGCGAUAACAGAACUCCCUCAACAUCGCGAUCACCCUACAGGAAAUAACCGUCGUGGAAUGUGGAGACAUCCCUAGAAGCUACAAGUCUCCCCCAACAUCGCGAUCAACCCUAAAGGAAGUUACUGUUGUGGAAUGCAGAGACAUCCGUAGAAGCUAGAAGUCUCCCCCAACAUCGCGAUCACCCCAACGGAAGCCACCAUCGUGGAAUGCGGUUAUAUCGGAGUUCCCCCUCAACUGAUAGCAAAGGAGAUAGAAUCAUCGGCUAGGGCUAUAUAAGGCAGAGGUUAGGAACAAACAGUGGCUUAUUUCUCAAUUGUAUCUCGUAGACGUUGGUGAUAGGCUUAUGCGGAGUCUUAACAAUUAUAAUAAAA